Molecule: transfer RNA, 68 nt
Filed under: Pheidole malinsii
Lineage: Eukaryota; Metazoa; Arthropoda; Insecta; Hymenoptera; Formicidae
Description: tRNA-Trp
Source: RNAcentral
AAGAUUUUAAGUUAUACACCUAAACUCUAAACCUUCAAAGUUUAAUAAAUAUUUACUUAUAAAUCUUA